AAUUUUCUCUCUUCUCCAUUGUUUUAAUUGGUUUAAAAAUACUUUUAUGCAUUUUUUAAUUCUGGAAAUUUUAUUUUAUGGUUCUCAUUUUAUUUCCAACCUUCCAUAAUUUUCUUGUCCAUUUAUUUGGUGUUUUGAAGGACUUUGUGGUUUUUCCAUUUUUAUUUCUAUUUUAAAAAUCAUUUAAAAAUACCUUUAAUGCAUUUUUAUUUCAUUUAAUUGCAUUUUAAAUUUGUUUAACCUUGUGGACUUUUGUUGGCCUUGAACCAUGAUGAGUUUGAC
Molecule: long non-coding RNA, 282 nt
Filed under: Lathyrus oleraceus (garden pea)
Lineage: Eukaryota; Viridiplantae; Streptophyta; Magnoliopsida; Fabales; Fabaceae
Description: Pisum sativum (pea) long non-coding RNA (PSAT_LNC033901)
Source: RNAcentral